Molecule: ribosomal RNA, 401 nt
Filed under: Metopograpsus thukuhar
Lineage: Eukaryota; Metazoa; Arthropoda; Malacostraca; Decapoda; Grapsidae
Description: partial 12S ribosomal RNA
Source: RNAcentral
UUUAGAAUUAAAUUUAAUAUAACUCUGGGUAAGUAGUAGAUAAAUACUUAAAAAUUAAAAAAUUUGGCGGUGAUUUAAUCUUUUUAGAGGAACUUGUUUUUUAAUCGAUAAACCACGUUUAAUCUUACUUGUUUUAGUAAAUCAGUAUGUAUACCAUCAUUAACAGGUAAUUUUAAAAGGAAAAAUUACUAAAAAUAAUUGAUUAUAUAAAUUAGAUCAUGGUGCAGCUUAUAAACAAGGUAAAAUGAGUUACAAUAAAGUAUUUUAGAUGAAUUAACGAGGGAAUCUUCGUUAUAAAGGUGGAUUUAAUUGUAAAUGUGGAUUAAUAAGCUUAUUUGAUAUUGGUGCUAAAUCAUGUACAUAUCGCCCGUCGCUUUCGCUAACCGAAAUAAGUCGUAACA